Molecule: long non-coding RNA, 3665 nt
Filed under: Daphnia pulex (common water flea)
Lineage: Eukaryota; Metazoa; Arthropoda; Branchiopoda; Diplostraca; Daphniidae
Description: uncharacterized LOC124198046, transcript variant X8
Source: RNAcentral
AGCAAGGUUUCGACUGCUAUUUUUCAGGACCAUAUUUUAGUUACCUUGCUGUUUCUGUUGCAUGCUGGUUGCAUGUUGUGAUAAGAAAUCAAAUACGGUGAACUGAAGCACGUUAAAGGGAAAAAAAAACAUGUAGCUUACGUAAUCGAGUAAUCGUAUGUCGACAAGUCAGUUGGAAUCGACUAGAAACGCUGAUGGAGGUGGUGCCAGUCGAGCUCUGCCCAAACUUGUCACUGUGAUGUUUAACGCCCACCAUUUUGAAUUCGUUCAAUCAAUGAAAACUGUGCAAAGUUCCCGUUUUUUCCAUGAUACGGCUUCGUGAAGGUGAUUUCGCCUACGAUCAAGAUGAACUAGAUGUCAUGAAGCAGGACAUCAUUCUGCUGAAGGGGAUUUGUCUUCGGUGGAAUCCAUCCAGCCGAUCCAGCCGGCACCGUUGAUCGACAAGCCUGCCUUCGAUGGAUUAGAUCUUCUUCAUUACCAUGCACUUUUCACAAGUCACAAUUUGUCUUUCUUCACUGACGAGUUACUGGACCACUUUUCAGUGGUCGCUUCCGUCCACUAUGACACGCACACACCUGUAGUCACUCAUCACGAGAUUAUGCCUAGGUACUGGACAAUUCACUUAUCAAGUAGGUACAUCCCUGUAAACAUUUAGCCUUAAAGAUAAGGAAGUUGUUUUGUGGCAGCAAAAAUGUUGUGAUUACUAAAUACUAAUGAUAACUAUUCCGAAAACUAAAGUCCACUUGUUAAAUUUUCGAUGGUUGCUAUUUUUCUGUCUAUUUUCUGUUUCUAAAUUCGUUAGUAAGUGUGUAAAUUUUCGUGUGACGCCGAAAAGAACCCAUUAGUUAAUUAUUAAUUACCCGAAGGGUUACUGGUCAAAGUUUCGUUUACAGUAUGGUUUACAUGGGCACCCUCAGUUCUCGUAACACAACAUAGAUGGCUGCACUAGUUUUUGGCAAUUAUUGAUUGUAAUCAACAAUUUAAUUGCAUUUCAAUGGCAGCAAUCGGUAGCUUACAAUUUUUUACAUCUAUUCUGAAAAUUUGGCUGCAAUCAAUUCAGGCGUUUGAUCAAACGGAGUUCUUGUUACUUUUUGACAGAAUUUCAAUAGCUGUUAGAGCAGACGAUAACACAGAGACAUGUGACAGGAUGACAGCAUCGUCUCUAUUGAAUAUGACCAGCAUGACCCAGGAUCGAAGAAAAAGCGUAGAGUACCGCCGUUGAUUGUUGGACCAUCUCUAGCCUGUCUUAUUUUUCUUUUCAAAAUUAUCAUCCUGUUGGAGUAAUAUUGUAGGCUUAUGAUAGAAUAGAAGUCACUGUAUGUUAUUACCUAACCGCACCUAACGCUAUCAAUCUCCAGUAAAAGAAGUGCUGAUAGGUAGUUACUUACAUUUAAUUUUAACAACAUCCGGUGUGACGUGGGGUGGCGGGGCGAAGCCUCCGCCGCAACAAAGUCACGCCUUACCCUUACGCCGCGCCAUAUCAUAUUAGGUUUUUGGGAAUUGAAUUUGUAUUUAAUGUUUGGAUAGAAACAUGCGGAAAUAUGCUUUUCAUCUCUUUCUCGAUUUCUGCAUAUUACAUUCUUCCGGAAACUAAGGGCAUAACAUUUUUGUUUUAAAUAUUAUUAAUUAAUCUUAAUAAUAGGCCUACCUUUAUAACAGAAUAUUAUUUUUAUUCUAUAACUAUUCUAUAGCUCUGCCUUUAUAAAACUAUACCAAUACAGCAAUUCUACUAUUCCAACUAGUAUACCCUUAACAUCCCCUUCGGGUACCUUGCGGCGUACGUACGCUGCCUACAGUUAACACCUAGUUUAUUUUCCGUCCGAGGUCCGACUCGAGUCGUCCGUGGAUUCUAAGGGCUGUCACUAGGUGGCUAAAUAUUUCAGUGUGUUUAAGGAUUGAACAAUUCGACCCUAGUGUGUCAAAGUCCUAACUGCUUAGUCUUGUCUUUUCUUUCGAGACGGGCCACCAGACGGCGUCGGAGAACGUUAGCUUUGCGGGGUAAUUUUCUUCUCUUCCUGAAAUUGUUCGUCAGAUAAAUGGUAGCUACUUGUAUUCUUUAUGGUUAUUGAAAAUGAGAUUAUUGUGCGUGGUGAAUAUUCAAGUAACAUGUUCAUCAACGUGUACAAUUUCGUAAAAUGUCGUCUCUUGCUGUACGUCGCACGUUUCGAACAAGAUGAGGUAUUACCACGCCAUUCGACUUCGAUCAAGCUGAACCGAAAGUGAACUAAUACAAAGCAACAUAUCGAAGAUCUUGCUUUUCUCCACGUGGUCGCUGCCGUGUCAUGAAGAUGCUGGUGCUGCCUCUUCUAUAUUGCAGGACAAAUGUGAUGCAAAGAAGAAAUCUGAAAAGGAAGUUUUCUUGCAGCCAAUUGGCGAAAGAGAGUUAAAAUCAAGUUGAGCUGCGGCCCCUGGAAGCAGUCUACAUUGCUGGUGUCAUUCUGAAGUGGGGAAAUGUUACCUGAAGUUUAAACAGCAACAAAGACACAAUGAAAUGGUGACAACGUGAUGCAUCCUACGUAUGUUGGUAAUUUAAGGGCAUGUGUCGAGCAGAAGGAAGACGAGUCUCAUUUCAUUUAUUUCUGGGACGCUGUUCGAGGACAAUUUUUAGUUAUUUCUUGGUGAUGAAUGCCUUGACAUUUUUCACCAUCUAAAUGGUAACAUAUCCUUGGUUCAUGUGAUCAUGUAGCCUGCUGUAGAUAUUCCAAAAAUGUCGUCCCUUGUUGCAUGACGAGUUUCGUCACAUGAAUAGGUAUUUCCACGCCAUUCGACCAAACUGAACCGAAAGUGAACCAUUUAAUGCAACAUGUCGAAUAUUUUGCCUUUCUCCAUGGGUCCAUGGGCUGUGUCAUGAAGAUGGAUCUUUGAGAGGGUCACUACUGCAUUGCAAGACAGAAUGAUGAAAAGAGGGAAAAUAUUAAGGUAAAAGAAUCCUUUCCUUAUCUGCUGAAGAAUUUGAGAACACAGCAAAGUCUGGACCACAUUUCUGUCUUGCAAGAGGUUUUGCUGCUGCAGCCAGCCAUUGAAAGGGAGUUCAAAUGAAGUUUAGUUGAAGCUCCUGGAAGCAGUCUACAUUGCUGGUGUCAUCCUAAAGUUAAACAGCAACACAGAUAAGCUGUGUCAAUGUGAUGCUGCAUACUGUCAAUGGAGCUGGUGUUAUCCACAAGUUUAGAAGCAAAACUAGAAGCACAGGUGCAAGAACACAUCCCGAAAUGGAAGGUGGAAAUUUGCCGUGGUUUUGCAGUCUGCUGCCUGUUCAAGCUGUUGCUAUCCUGGAUUUUGCCUUAGUCCUUGAAAUAGCAAUGUUGGUGGUAUCCAGAUGUUGCUGUGGCAGUGUGGCAGUGAAAUUCGGGUUGAAGAUUAAAAUAUUUUCGUCUGAUAAAUGUUUAUCGAUCCAUGUAGCGUAUGAUUGAAGUAACUUGAUAUUAAUUUGCUAUUCCAUGUCACAUGUUGCAGCCCGUGUUGGUGAGAGUUCUUUGACAUUAAGUUCUAUCUGCUGUUGAUGUUGGUUAUGAUAUUACCUUUAUCCACAUCCACAUGAUAUCAAAUUAUUCCUUAUUAAUUGAUGGCCAAACCUCCUAAGUCAAACCUGCAAUCUUGUGUUAUGUUAACUUCAUUGUUUAUAUCUUAUCACAUUUCACUUGUAAUCUAUAUAAAUAUAAAUAAUA